RNAcentral lists this unclassified non-coding RNA (223 nucleotides) under uncultured bacterium. RNAcentral's name for it is "16S-23S ribosomal RNA intergenic spacer". The record is from RNAcentral.
CUAGGGAGUUUGUUUUCUCUCUUGUGUCCUGGGUUUGUUGGGUUCUGUUGUGGGGCCUGGCCUGGGGUUGGUAUGGAAUGUUGCUUUGCAAGGUGGCGCGCUGUUGGGUUGUGGGGUAGCCAUUGUGGUUGUCUUGUGGCCUGGGGGAGGGUUUGCCUGUUGGGUGGGUUUUUCUCUGGGUGGGUUGUUUGUGAACUGUAUAGUGGACGCGAGUAUCUUUUUG